RNAcentral lists this ribosomal RNA (382 nucleotides) under Cryptosporidium sp. NAY-2012. RNAcentral's name for it is "SSU rRNA". It matches the Rfam family "Eukaryotic small subunit ribosomal RNA", at positions 667 to 1053 of the family's 1831-position model. Lineage: Eukaryota; Apicomplexa; Conoidasida; Eucoccidiorida; Cryptosporidiidae. The record is from RNAcentral.
UUAAUAAUUUAUAUAAAAUAUUUUGAUGAAUAUUUAUAUAAUAUUAACAUAAUUCAUAUUACUAUAUUUUUUAGUAUAUGAAAUUUUACUUUGAGAAAAUUAGAGUGCUUAAAGCAGGCAUAUGCCUUGAAUACUCCAGCAUGGAAUAAUAUUAAAGAUUUUUAUCUUUCUUAUUGGUUCUAAGAUAAGAAUAAUGAUUAAUAGGGACAGUUGGGGGCAUUUGUAUUUAACAGUCAGAGGUGAAAUUCUUAGAUUUGUUAAAGACAAACUAAUGCGAAAGCAUUUGCCAAGGAUGUUUUCAUUAAUCAAGAACGAAAGUUAGGGGAUCGAAGACGAUCAGAUACCGUCGUAGUCUUAACCAUAAACUAUGCCAACUAGAGAU